GCUGGCCAUUCAUGUCCUGGUUUCCUGACUCAGCCACUAUGGCCACAGGCAUAUGCCACCCCCCACCCCAAAAAAAAAAUACUGGGGGAAAUUAGGGGCCUACAGGCCAGGAUUGGUUCUAGAGUGAGCUCUGGAAGAGAGGACACAGGAGGGUGCUCUGAAGGAGCGGGCACUGAAGGGGCGGGACGGGACCAGUGGAGGCGAAGGAGAUGAAGGAGGGCUGGACAGGACCAGCAGAGGUGAAGGAGACGAAGGAGGGUUGGACAGGACCAGCUGAGAAGAAGGAGGGCUGGACAGGACCAGUGGAGGCGAAGGAGACGAAGGAGGGCUGGACAGGACCAGCAGAGGUGACGAAAACACUGGGCUUAAGUAACAGGGAGUAAAGAUAAUUAAUCAAACACAGGAGGAACCAAAUGGACAUAAUGAACUAUAAUGAGGACAGGAACAGGAAAAUAAC
This is a long non-coding RNA of Cyprinus carpio carpio, 457 nucleotides long. The record is from Ensembl. Lineage: Eukaryota; Metazoa; Chordata; Actinopteri; Cypriniformes; Cyprinidae.